Molecule: long non-coding RNA, 378 nt
Organism: Eucalyptus grandis
Lineage: Eukaryota; Viridiplantae; Streptophyta; Magnoliopsida; Myrtales; Myrtaceae
Exons: 3
Source: RefSeq, a predicted model, not a curated record
AAACACUUUUGAUUCACCACCAUCUCUUUCAUUCGUGCCCUACCCGAAACAAGCUCUCCCUUUUCUGGCGUCUCUCACAAGUUCACCACCGGCUGACUCUCCGGCGCCGACAGCUGUUGCUCCUUCACCAGCUGAAGCUUAUGAAUCGAGGCUCACGGAUAUCAUGCAAACUUUGCUACAACGACACUUGUAACCAAGGCAUGACUGAAAGCAUGUUAACUUUUACAUUGAGAUUGCGGCUCCAGAUUAUCUUCUUACUAUUUGGAAUUGUUGCUGGCUUUGCGCCUCUAUGUAUCAAUAUGCAUGUGGUAAAUUUUUCUGUAAUUUUGCGUCAAGUACCAUUAUAUGCCCUUAAUUUGAAUUGAUGUUGGCAUUUGU